UACGAACCGUGCGAACGUUAUUCGGAAUCACUGGGCUUAAAGCGCGUGUAGGCGGCCCGGCGCGUCGGAUGCUGAAAUCCCCCGGCUCAACCGGGGAAGGGGCGCCGAUACGGCCGGGCUGGAGGGGGGUAGGGGGCGCUGGAACUCACGGUGGAGCGGUGAAAUGCGUUGAGAUCGUGAGGAACGCCCGCGGCGAAAGCGAGCGCCUGGACCCUUUCUGACGCUGAGACGCGAAAGCCAGGGGAGCGAACGGG
RNAcentral lists this ribosomal RNA (254 nucleotides) under uncultured bacterium. Its description in RNAcentral is "partial 16S ribosomal RNA". It matches the Rfam family "Bacterial small subunit ribosomal RNA", at positions 524 to 776 of the family's 1533-position model. The record is from RNAcentral.